Long non-coding RNA from Macrobrachium nipponense, 1227 nucleotides. RefSeq lists it as uncharacterized. Lineage: Eukaryota; Metazoa; Arthropoda; Malacostraca; Decapoda; Palaemonidae. The record is from RefSeq and is a predicted model, not a curated record. The transcript has 3 exons.
ACUAGAUCGCAGCUGACGAGAUAGAAGGUACUACGAAUUGUGUGUCAGUGAUGUUUUGUGUGAUAACGAGCGGGAUUUAUCUAUUAAACAUUUCAGUGCGAUAAACAGCAGCAUUCGGCAGGAUGUGCACGUCAUCAAAGUUAAUGUGGUCACCGUGACUUCACUGAUUCAAGAAUAUAGGAGGAACCAUGAGAAAACAAUGCAGUGAAGCACUACAAACUUUGCAAAGAAGUGAGUAAACUCCAGUUUCAUUUAAAAUGCCACCUCAAAGUUCAUGGAAUCCCAGAUGAAGCAAUACAGUAAUGAUUUACAUGGAGAGAAGAGAGAAGAGAAAACAAAACAAAUACGAUUGCCAGAAUGUGAAGGUUACCUUGCCACCAAACAUCUGAAUCAACAGCUCCAUAAGUUUUAUCAUUUUAUUCCAACCAAUAAGCCAAGUAAAAGAUAAAGUUGAGAUUUACUUUGUAUUAUUUAGUUUGAUGUAAGAAAUUAAAUUUUACAAUAUAUAUAUUUUUUUUUUUUUUUUUGUGAAUCUGAAAGAUUUUCAUCGUUACUUUGAAGUUUACUUUUGGAGUCAGAAUUAAGGCAAUUUUGUAUAUAUUUUUUGUUCUGUAAAAAAGACUAUGUUGCUUGCAUGAUCUUUCAAACUGAUGAUAUUUUUUAAGUCUUUCUGAAGCAAUUUUUCAUAAAAUCAAUUUUAUUAAAAGUUCUAACCUAACUACUCUGUAAUCCAGCAAAAUUACUAAUCUGGCAAUUUUUAAAUACACUAAUGACUAUUAUAUUCUCUACAUAUUCAGCAACACCAGUCAAAGCACAGAGAUUUAUUCUGAGAAAACCAUAAUAAAGAGCAAUAUAGAAAUCCUACUUCCAGUCAUUCAAAACUACCACAAUUAAAAUAAUAAAUCUUAAGAGGCCUUUGCAUAGGGUCAGAAGCAUUUUACUUGCAGUAAAGAGACAGGUAAUUUAAAGCCAUGUUAUAAAUUAUACAUACAGACUGGGAACAAAAAUAUAGGCCGAGUCAUGUUUACAAACUUGAAGCCAGUGCACGUGAAUGUAAAUUUAAGUCAAAGCUUUUAAUAAAGGUUUGGUUUGAUCUUAAAUCAUUUAAAAGUUAACCUUUAGCAACAGUUUAUAUCUGAAUUCUAGUUAAAGUUGAAUAUAUCAUGUUUCUUAGGUGUUCUCUUGUUACAUGUAACAUGACCAGGGAAAGUAGUGCUUACCUAUGAU